This 271-nucleotide ribosomal RNA is filed under the name uncultured prokaryote. RNAcentral describes it as "partial 16S ribosomal RNA". It matches the Rfam family "Bacterial small subunit ribosomal RNA", at positions 525 to 777 of the family's 1533-position model. The record is from RNAcentral.
ACGGAGGGUGCGAGCGUUGUCCGGAAUCACUGGGCGUAAAGGGCGCGUAGGCGGCAUGCCAAGCGUGUGGUGAAAGCCCGGGGCUCAACCCCGGGUCGGCCGUGCGGACUGGCGUGCUCGAGCACUGUAGGGGCGGGUGGAAUUCCGGGUGUAGCGGUGGAAUGCGUAGAGAUCCGGAAGAACACCGGUGGCGAAGGCGGCCCGCUGGGCAGGAAGACACCGCAAGGUGUCGGCUGACGCUGAGGCGCGACAGCGUGGGGAGCAAACAGGA